This 497-nucleotide ribosomal RNA is filed under the name uncultured bacterium. RNAcentral's name for it is "partial 16S ribosomal RNA". It matches the Rfam family "Bacterial small subunit ribosomal RNA", at positions 28 to 507 of the family's 1533-position model. The record is from RNAcentral.
GAUGAACGCUGGCGGCGUGCCUAAUACAUGCAAGUCGAGCGAACAGACGAGGAGCUUGCUCCUCUGACGUUAGCGGCGGACGGGUGAGUAACAUGUGGAUAACCUACCUAUAAGACUGGGAUAACUUCGGGAAACCGGAGCUAAUACCGGAUAAUAUAUUGACCCGCAUGGUUCAAUAGUGAAAGACGGUUUUGCUGUCACUUAUAGAUGGAUCCGCGCCGCAUUAGCUAGUUGGUAAGGUAACGGCUUACCAAGGCAACGAUGCGUAGCCGACCUGAGAGGGUGAUCGGCCACACUGGAACUGAGAAACGGUCCAGACUCCUACGGGAGGCAGCAGUAGGGAAUCUUCCGCAAUGGGCGAAAGCUUGACGGAGCAACGCCGCGUGAGUGAUGAAGGUCUUCGGAUCGUAAAACUCUGUUAUUAGGGAAGAACAAAUGUGUAAGUAACUAUGCACGUCUUGACGGUACCUAAACAGAAAGCCACGGCUAACUACGUG